This 880-nucleotide ribosomal RNA is filed under the name uncultured bacterium. RNAcentral describes it as "bacterial SSU rRNA". It matches the Rfam family "Bacterial small subunit ribosomal RNA", at positions 11 to 883 of the family's 1533-position model. The record is from RNAcentral.
GUUUGAUCCUGGCUCAGAUUGAACGCUGGCGGAAUGCUUUACACAUGCAAGUCGAACGGCAGCACGGGAGCUUGCUCCUGGUGGCGAGUGGCGAACGGGUGAGUAAUGCGUCGGAACGUACCGAGUAAUGGGGGAUAACGCAGCGAAAGUUGUGCUAAUACCGCAUACGCCCUGAGGGGGAAAGUGGGGGAUCGUAAGACCUCACGUUAUUCGAGCGGCCGACGUCUGAUUAGCUAGUUGGUGGGGUAAUGGCUCACCAAGGCGACGAUCAGUAGCGGGUCUGAGAGGAUGAUCCGCCACACUGGGACUGAGACACGGCCCAGACUCCUACGGGAGGCAGCAGUGGGGAAUUUUGGACAAUGGGGGCAACCCUGAUCCAGCCAUUCCGCGUGAGUGAAGAAGGCCUUCGGGUUGUAAAGCUCUUUCAGCUGGAACGAAACGGUACGCUCUAACAUAGCGUGCUACUGACGGUACCAGCAGAAGAAGCACCGGCUAACUACGUGCCAGCAGCCGCGGUAAUACGUAGGGUGCGAGCGUUAAUCGGAAUUACUGGGCGUAAAGCGUGCGCAGGCGGAUUGUUAAGCGAGAUGUGAAAUCCCCGGGCUUAACCUGGGAAUGGCAUUUUGAACUGGCAGUCUAGAGUGUGUCAGAGGGGGGUGGAAUUCCACGUGUAGCAGUGAAAUGCGUAGAGAUGUGGAGGAACACCGAUGGCGAAGGCAGCCCCCUGGGAUAACACUGACGCUCAUGUACGAAAGCGUGGGUAGCAAACAGGAUUAGAUACCCUGGUAGUCCACGCCCUAAACGAUGUCAACUGGUUGUUGGGGGAGUGAAAUCCCUUAGUAACGAAGCUAACGCGUGAAGUUGACCGCCUGGGGAGUAC